UGAGGAACAUGACCUUCGGCGGGGGAUAGCCGGCCCAACGGCCGGGUAAUACCGCGUACGACCAUUUGGGGACAUCCCCGAGUGGUGAAAGCAGCAAUGCGCCGAUGGAGUGCCUCGCGGCCUAUCAGCUAGUUGGUGAGGUAACGGCUCACCAAGGCAACGACGGGUAGCUGGUCUGAGAGGAUGGCCAGCCACAUUGGGACUGAGACACGGCCCAGACCUCCGUACGGGAGCAG
RNAcentral lists this ribosomal RNA (236 nucleotides) under uncultured bacterium. RNAcentral's name for it is "partial 16S ribosomal RNA". It matches the Rfam family "Bacterial small subunit ribosomal RNA", at positions 118 to 347 of the family's 1533-position model. The record is from RNAcentral.